CCACUCACUGCCUCAUAGGCAAUUUCGCACUGACACAUAUGCGCUCCAAACUGUUUGAAACACUUUGUUGUUUUGUGAGGUACUGUAAAGUGUUUUCAGAUGGCGUAACGAUGUAGGUUCACCUGGAAAUAUUCCAGCGAGAGGAUUUUGUUUUGUUUCAACGGUGCGAUAACGACGAGCGCACAUUCCACACUUUCGACUUGUGUUAUUCUUUGAUGUAAAUUCGGUAAAUCGUGUUAUAUUUCCUGAUCGCCGGUGAUAAUUAGUGUUAUUAAACUUGUUUGAGCUUUUAUCAGCUAUUUAUCGCGUGUGUAAUCUUCGUAAUUGUAAAUUUUGCGUGUUUAAUUUAUUGAUGUGUACGUGAGUCCGUUGCCGUCGGGCCACGGCCGAUGAAAAUAUCAACGCUAUAAACGCUAAUAAUCAAUUGACUUGUGAAAAACAUAUUUGUCAUCAACAGAGGAGCAUGAAUCAAUGUGCUACCAGCAUUCGCCAACUUGCCGUCGAUCUACAUACCGUCUUCCAUAACCGGCGUUCUAUCACACUGAUACUACCCGUUCGUCUUAUGCGCACUUCGGGUUGCGGGGUGAGACGGCGGUAUUUGCGCCGAAUAAAAUAACAACUCACACUAUCUCUUAACAUUCCAAGUGAUCUUCGAAUGCAAUCAUGUCAUGCAAUAUGCGAUCUUAAAGUAAUAUAGAAUUCGUGCGUUAUUUGCAUGUUUUUGUUUUCGGGUUUAUCAACAUCACCUCAACGCCGAACUUUUUGUGCGCAAGUCCGGUGCAGGAAGCAAGCAGCGCAGGGAAACAAGUUAACGCGCAACGCACAGUCAGCAUCAUCAUUCAGUGCGCGACAUUGUCUGCAGUUACACCUGCGCUAAUAAAAAUGCCAAUAAUUUAUUAAAUCAGUAAAAAAGUGUUGCUACCAAUUGAAAAACAUUCCUCGAGGCACUCACAAAUGACCUUUCAAGGUCACCCACCUGACGUCCCGGAUUAGUCUUACUUUCCCAAGAUUGGAAAAAGGUUUGAACAUUGCUGUAAAUCGCUGUACAUAUUCGAUAUAUUGGGGCAUUUUUGUAAUUCGGGCGCGUUCGUUUUCGGUUUAUGUACUUUUUGUGUCUACUAAUAUUCCACACCUUCAUGUUUUAAGUAACUACCUCUUAAUAUCAUUAUUACUUUAUUGUUUUUCAAUCCUUUUAAUAUUCUUAUUUUUCAUAAUUUAAAAAAAUCCUUGCCAAUUUUGAUUAAUUUAUCAUUUAUUUAUUUUAUUCUUUAAAAAAUUUUUAGUUCCGAAUAUCUACCAAAUCAUCCCUACCCAGUAUUUUUAAUCUUUGUUUC
Long non-coding RNA from Dalotia coriaria, 1334 nucleotides. RefSeq lists it as uncharacterized. The transcript is spliced from 5 exons. NCBI's taxonomy places the organism in Eukaryota, Metazoa, Arthropoda, Insecta, Coleoptera, Staphylinidae. The record is from RefSeq and is a predicted model, not a curated record.